Rhododendron vialii is the source of this 1093-nucleotide long non-coding RNA. RefSeq lists it as uncharacterized. Lineage: Eukaryota; Viridiplantae; Streptophyta; Magnoliopsida; Ericales; Ericaceae. The record is from RefSeq and is a predicted model, not a curated record. The transcript is spliced from 2 exons.
GGGCAUAUAAUUAAUGUUGCAGGAUUGAACUAUGAUCAGCAUUAAUUAUGGACGUAUACAUCACAAAAAAUUAAUGAUAAUUAUGGAAAGGUAUAGUCUGAAAUUUCAAAAUAUAUUUUAAAAAUUGACAUUAAUCAUAAAAUCCUCACACAUAUAGAUAAAACAGUUAAUGCAGUAUCAAAAAUGAUUUAGGCUAGUUUUGAACCAAUAAGUCACACAUAUCGGGAUAAAACAGUUAACGCAGUCGCACGCUGGUUUGUCUUAAUUUAAAAAAAUUCGCAUUUGUGUGUUUUUGUGUUAAUUUUUUUAUGGAUUAUUGAUUUGUCUCGACGAGAGGAAUCGAAAAAAUAAAAAAUUAUGAUCGAUACUCAUAAUUUUUUGAAUAGACUUAUUUUUGUUUUUAUUCAAAAAAUUUCAAAAUUAUGAUCAUAAAUUUUUUUUACCUUUUCAAUUCCUCUAGCCGAAAACAAUCAAUAAUCCACAAAAAUUUGACACAAAACUAACAAAUACAAUUUUUUUAAGUGACUUAAUCGUCCAAAACCAGCCUAAUACAAGAAAAGUUGAACCAAUAUAAACAUUUUAUCUUUGAUAUUUUUGAUUUUUUAAUAGCCCUUUUCAUAGCUUUUUAAAAUGUAAAAACUUCUUUCCCAAAAUUGCAACAUAAUAAGGGAAACGUGUAACUAAGGGCAUCUCCAAGAGAAAGAACAAAAAAAAUUGUGUAUCAAAAUGUUAACUUUGUUGAUACAUGCAGUUGGCAAGUUGAAGAAUCAGUACUCUUACAAUCGCAUCUAAAUUACUCAUAUACUAUAAUUCUUAUAUCUAUUCAGUGUUCACUAGCAUUUUUCUUUAACAAGAAUAAUCAUUAAAACAAAUUUAAAAUUUAAAAGCAAGGCCGCCGAUGAACAAGAGUACUGGGAAUAUUGGUUUAGCUAGGUUAUAUCAAGCCAAAGGCAAAGACAAGAAGUAAGGGGAUCAUUACUACAAAGAGUUUGGUCUUGGCAUGGGGUUCGAAAACAGAACACACAAGGAGAGAGAGAGAGAGAGAGAGAGAGAGAGAGAGAGAGAGAGAGAGAGAGAGAGAGAGAGAGAGAGA